RNAcentral lists this ribosomal RNA (467 nucleotides) under uncultured Curtobacterium sp. RNAcentral's name for it is "bacterial SSU rRNA". It matches the Rfam family "Bacterial small subunit ribosomal RNA", at positions 916 to 1381 of the family's 1533-position model. The record is from RNAcentral. Lineage: Bacteria; Bacillati; Actinomycetota; Actinomycetes; Micrococcales; Microbacteriaceae.
ACGGGGCCCGCACAAGCGGCGGAGCAUGCGGAUUAAUUCGAUGCAACGCGAAGAACCUUACCAAGGCUUGACAUACACCGGUAACGCCCAGAGAUGGGUGCCCCUUUGUGGUCGGUGGACAGGUGGUGCAUGGUUGUCGUCAGCUCGUGUCGUGAGAUGUUGGGUUAAGUCCCGCAACGAGCGCAACCCUCGUCCUAUGUUGCCAGCGGGUCAUGCCGGGGACUCAUGGGAGACUGCCGGGGUCAACUCGGAGGAAGGUGGGAUGACGUCAAAUCAUCAUGCCCCUUAUGUCUUGGGCUUCACGCAUGCUACAAUGGCCGGUACAAAGGGCUGCGAUACCGCGAGGUGGAGCGAAUCCCAGAAAGCCGGUCUCAGUUCGGAUUGGGGUCUGCAACUCGACCCCAUGAAGUCGGAGUCGCUAGUAAUCGCAGAUCAGCAACGCUGCGGUGAAUACGUUCCCGGGCCUU